This 87-nucleotide transfer RNA is filed under the name Acidimicrobiaceae bacterium. RNAcentral describes it as "tRNA-Ser". It matches the Rfam family "tRNA". From Rfam's summary of the family: Transfer RNA (tRNA) molecules are approximately 80 nucleotides in length. Their secondary structure includes four short double-helical elements and three loops (D, anti-codon, and T loops). Further hydrogen bonds mediate the characteristic L-shaped molecular structure. tRNAs have two regions of fundamental functional importance: the anti-codon, which is responsible for specific mRNA codon recognition, and the 3' end, to which the tRNAs corresponding amino acid is attached (by aminoacyl-tRNA synthetases). tRNAs cope with the degeneracy of the genetic code in two manners: having more than one tRNA (with a specific anti-codon) for a particular amino acid; and 'wobble' base-pairing, i.e. permitting non-standard base-pairing at the 3rd anti-codon position. The record is from RNAcentral. Lineage: Bacteria; Bacillati; Actinomycetota; Acidimicrobiia; Acidimicrobiales; Acidimicrobiaceae.
GGAGGGAUGGCAGAGCGGACGAAUGCGAAGCUCUUGAAAAGCUUUGGGCCAAAAGCCCCGUGGGUUCGAAUCCCACUCCCUCCGCCA